RNAcentral lists this ribosomal RNA (247 nucleotides) under uncultured bacterium. RNAcentral describes it as "partial 16S ribosomal RNA". It matches the Rfam family "Bacterial small subunit ribosomal RNA", at positions 523 to 769 of the family's 1533-position model. The record is from RNAcentral.
AUACGUAGGGUGCAAGCGUUGUCCGGAUUUAUUGGGUUUAAAGGGUGCGCAGGCGGCUCAUUAAGUCAGUGUUAAAAUACAGCAGCUCAACUGUUGAACUGGCAUUGAUACUGAUGAGCUUGAGUACAGUGUAGGCAGGCGGAAUUUAUGGUGUAGCGGUGAAAUGCUUAGAUACCAUAAAGAACACCGAUAGCGAAGGCAGCUCGCCGCAGUGAAACUGACGCUCAGGCACGAAAGCGUGGGGAUC